Molecule: ribosomal RNA, 565 nt
Filed under: uncultured Glomeromycotina
Lineage: Eukaryota; Fungi; Glomeromycota
Description: SSU rRNA
Rfam family: Eukaryotic small subunit ribosomal RNA
Source: RNAcentral
UUGGAGGGCAAGUCUGGUGCCAGCAGCCGCGGUAAUUCCAGCUCCAAUAGCGUAUAUUAAAGUUGUUGCAGUUAAAAAGCUCGUAGUUGAAUUUCGGGGUUAGUAGGUUGGUCAUGCCUCUGGUAUGUACUGGUCUCACUGAUUCCUCCUUCCUGAUGAACCUUAAUGCCAUUAAUUUGGUGUUUUGGGGAAUUUGGACUGUUACUUUGAAAAAAUUAGAGUGUUUAAAGCAAGCUAACGCUUGAAUACAUUAGCAUGGAAUAAUGAAAUAGGACGUUCGAUCCUAUUUUGUUGGUUUUUAGGAUUGACGUAAUGAUUAAUAGGGAUAGUUGGGGGCAUUAGUAUUCAAUUGUCAGAGGUGAAAUUCUUGGAUUUAUUGAAGACUAACUACUGCGAAAGCAUUUGCCAAGGAUGUUUUCAUUAAUCAAGAACGAAAGUUAGGGGAUCGAAGACGAUCAGAUACCGUCGUAGUCUUAACCAUAAAUUAUGCCGACUAGGGAUCGGAUGAUGUUAAUUUUUUAAUGACUCAUUCGGCGCCUUACGGGAAACCAAAGUGUUUGGGUUC